AGUGUAGGCGGGAUCGUAAGUUAGGAGUUUAAUACAUGGGCUUAACCCAUGAGCUGCUUUUAAUACUGCGGUUCUUGAGUAUGGGAGAGGGUGAUGGAAUUCCAGGUGUAGCGGUGGAAUGCGUAGAUAUCUGGAAGAACACCAGUAGCGAAGGCGGUCGCCUGGCCCAAUACUGACGCUGAUGCUCGAAAGCUAGGGGAGCAAACAGGAUUAGAUACCCUGGUAGUCCUAGCCGUAAACGAUGGACACUAGUUGCUGGAGGAGUCAAUCCUUUCGGUGACGAAGCUAACGCAUUAAGUGUCCCGCCUGGGGAGUACGUUCGCAAGGAUGAA
Molecule: ribosomal RNA, 332 nt
Filed under: uncultured bacterium
Lineage: Bacteria
Description: bacterial SSU rRNA
Rfam family: Bacterial small subunit ribosomal RNA
Source: RNAcentral